Molecule: ribosomal RNA, 852 nt
Filed under: Staphylococcus aureus
Lineage: Bacteria; Bacillati; Bacillota; Bacilli; Caryophanales; Staphylococcaceae
Description: partial 23S ribosomal RNA
Rfam family: Bacterial large subunit ribosomal RNA
Source: RNAcentral
AGUAAACGGCGGCCGUAACUAUAACGGUCCUAAGGUAGCGAAAUUCCUUGUCGGGUAAGUUCCGACCCGCACGAAAGGCGUAACGAUUUGGGCACUGUCUCAACGAGAGACUCGGUGAAAUCAUAGUACCUGUGAAGAUGCAGGUUACCCGCGACAGGACGGAAAGACCCCGUGGAGCUUUACUGUAGCCUGAUAUUGAAAUUCGGCACAGCUUGUACAGGAUAGGUAGGAGCCUUUGAAACGUGAGCGCUAGCUUACGUGGAGGCGCUGGUGGGAUACUACCCUAGCUGUGUUGGCUUUCUAACCCGCACCACUUAUCGUGGUGGGAGACAGUGUCAGGCGGGCAGUUUGACUGGGGCGGUCGCCUCCUAAAAGGUAACGGAGGCGCUCAAAGGUUCCCUCAGAAUGGUUGGAAAUCAUUCAUAGAGUGUAAAGGCAUAAGGGAGCUUGACUGCGAGACCUACAAGUCGAGCAGGGUCGAAAGACGGACUUAGUGAUCCGGUGGUUCCGCAUGGAAGGGCCAUCGCUCAACGGAUAAAAGCUACCCCGGGGAUAACAGGCUUAUCUCCCCCAAGAGUUCACAUCGACGGGGAGGUUUGGCACCUCGAUGUCGGCUCAUCGCAUCCUGGGGCUGUAGUCGGUCCCAAGGGUUGGGCUGUUCGCCCAUUAAAGCGGUACGCGAGCUGGGUUCAGAACGUCGUGAGACAGUUCGGUCCCUAUCCGUCGUGGGCGUAGGAAAUUUGAGAGGAGCUGUCCUUAGUACGAGAGGACCGGGAUGGACAUACCUCUGGUGUACCAGUUGUCGUGCCAACGGCAUAGCUGGGUAGCUAUGUGUGGACGGGAUAAGUGCUG